CGUACUACUACAUAAACUAACAGCGAGCGAGCACAGCUAGCUAAGUAGCUAGCACGCGGUGCUCACAGACGACUAUAGGAGGCGGCAGCUCUCGGCCGGCCUUGGGCAGUUGGGCUGGUCGCGGCGCGUGCACAGCUAGCAGGUGGGCGGAUCGAUCAUUGAUGGCUAUGGAAGCGGAGACGACGGUGCUACGACGGCCGCUGUCGGCGUUCUUGGCAGCGGGCGGCGGCGGCAUCGGGGAGGAGGUGUCGUCGGGCAGGCAGCAGGUCCCUCCGGUGUUCCUUGCCACGGAGAAGGACGACGACCGGCCGGCGGUGGACCCAGUGAUCUGGGCCGACGAGAAGCGGAUGAAGCGGGAGCUGCUGGUGUGGGCCAAGGCCGUCGCGUCCAUGGUGGCCAGCAACAACACCUCCUGCUCCUCUCCGCCGUCGUCGUGGUCGUCCACGAGACACAGGGGAUAGCUAGUAUACGUACGUCCGGUUGGGUUUCUUGAUGGUUCAGCUUGUAUGUUUUUGGCUAGCCUUGAAGAUGGAUCGAUCGACCGGUGACGUGAGCCUUCCCUUGGUGUGUUUUUGUCUGGCUUAUUUUUUUUGUGCUCAAUUGGUGCAUCUAUCUAAGCUAGUUUCGCUUGCUUGAUUUGGGGAAGGUUGCUCUAUUUUUUUUUAUGUUCUAUUUAUCUAGAAUCUAGGGCUAGCUACUUAAUUGUUAUAUAUGUGUACAAUUUCCCUAUAUGUCUCAUUUUCUAUUUUCGCUGUACAAAGAUAUAUGAAUAUAAGGCCAUCAGUUAUAUCUUGGUUAGUUGGGCA
Molecule: long non-coding RNA, 806 nt
Organism: Zea mays
Lineage: Eukaryota; Viridiplantae; Streptophyta; Magnoliopsida; Poales; Poaceae
Exons: 1
Source: RefSeq, a predicted model, not a curated record